CCAGAACCGGGGACAGCUCCGUCCCGAGCCCCCAGCGCCCAGGCUGGAUUCGGGGGACUCAUCCAGCCCAGGGCAGCCUCACAGAGCAACCGCGCUCAUCACCUACUCUGAGUGUCUCUCCAGCACGCCCCUUUUGAGCCCUCUCCUUCAUCGCCCUUGGCUUACCGCAAGGCCCUGUGUUGAACACGAGUACACGGAAGUACAGGUUACUGCAGCGCUGUACACUGGUUUUUAAACUGUUUAGUAUAGGAUUAUUCUGCUGCACAAUCAUUGAUGUUACUAUGUCUGCUUUUGUGCGUAUGUCCUUGAAGAGUCUGACGGCCGUCAACAUUUGAAAGUUUCAGAUUAAGUGCUGCUUUCCUGAACUGUUUGAAGUUCUCCGGAGAUGCCUUUAUGGGAACUGGAAGUGCCAUCUUUUUACAUAAAUUUAUCCAGGAGUCUGCAUUCUUAAUUCUGAUGUCCUGAAAUUCAUCCAAAGAAGUGAGGUUUUUACCCACGAAAGCUUAUGCCCAAAUAAAUCUGUUAGUCUUUAAAGUGC
Long non-coding RNA from Chrysemys picta bellii (western painted turtle), 538 nucleotides. RefSeq lists it as uncharacterized. The record is from RefSeq and is a predicted model, not a curated record. Lineage: Eukaryota; Metazoa; Chordata; Testudines; Emydidae.